UGAUGCUGCAUAGGGCUGCCACAAAUAGUAGGGGCUCAGUCAAGUUAGUAUAAUAGGAUUUUUUUUCCUCUUAUGUUGAAGUCCAUAGGCAGGUAGUCCAGCCUAGUACCAAGGUUUCAGAACCUAGGCUUUUCCCCCUCUCCUUCCUGCCUUAAAUGGCAUUUGGUUUCCUACUCAUGUUUCAGAAUGUUUGCUUGAGCUACAGCCAUCAUGUCCACAUUCAAACCAGUAAGAAAGAGGAAGGGGGAAAGGAUGUCUUCUCUCUUUUUAAGGACAUAUCUCAGAAGUUGUAUGUGACACUCUACUUACAUCUUCUUAGCCAAAACUUCCUCACAAAUCACACUAGCUGCAAAGAAAUCUGGAAAAUAUAGUUUUUAUUUGGGGUGUCAUAUGCCCAGCUAAAAAUCAAGGUUUUAUGAUCAAGGCAGAAGAGAAUGCACUUCUGACAUUACUGAUUUUUAAUGUUACAGCAAACCUUUCCCAACUCUCCAGCCAGAGGUUUGCAAUCUAAAACCUGCAAUGGGCUAGGAAAUUACAAUAAAAUUCUGAAUUUCAAAUUCUGAUCACCCCUCUACAGUGCAGCUGGUCCUGCUGGUCACAGGAAGGCCCCAGAAAGAAAUGAAGCCAUCAAGAAGCCAUUGAUGCUGUGACCUUCUGUUGCAGGCUGCUCCUCUACUUAGACAGGGAGAAGAUGGCCAUCUAUGAACCAGGAAGCCCUCACUAGACCCCAAGUCUGCCAGCACCUCGAACUUGGAUUCCUCAGUCUUCACAACAGUGUGAGCUGGCUCACCGCCAUGCUGUCUCUGAGAAGACUCCAUCUCUCGGAGAACAAUCUGCCUUGUUCAUGGCAUGAUGCAUGAAGAAAAGCAGCCGGGCAGGAGAGGGACAGGAAAAUCUCCCAUCUUCCUGCAUAGCUGAGGCUUUCCCUACUCCUAGGGAGAAGGCACUGAAGUGAAUCCCAUGAACAUUCUCAACUGUUUCCAAAAUGUUGCCAAUAUUCUUCUGUAUAUUGAUAUUUUGAAAUCCCCAAUGUAGUGGUAUGUUGUAUUUGAGCCCAGAUUUAAAAUUGUAUAUGUUUCAUUCUAGCUUGGUUUCUGUCAUUCUCAAUGAUUUCUUUAUUUUCUUAAAUAUUUCUGAAUAAAAGGGCC
Molecule: long non-coding RNA, 1148 nt
Filed under: Homo sapiens (human)
Lineage: Eukaryota; Metazoa; Chordata; Mammalia; Primates; Hominidae
Description: HSALNT0144484
Source: RNAcentral